GCAUACUAAGUUUUGAAAUAUUUUAUCCUUUUAAAGUGAAAAGCUAUCUUGAUUGUAUUUACUUUUUACCCUACAAGAUUAGUUUACACUAAGAUCCUUUCCUAAGCAAUCACAAUAAAGAUAAGAAGACUUAAUAACAAUGUUAGUUUCAUUAUACAAUAUCCAAAGAAAUGGGCUAACAUCGGCAAUAAUAUAAAGUAAGGCGGGGGACUAGACUCUUAUAAUGGGCUGGCAAGCAUCAGGCCCAUUUAAAUCAACUAGCAAUAGGUUUCAACAACAGUAAUGCGGCGAGGAGAGUGGUAGCCCGGUUCAUUGAACUUGGUCCAGAGUUCACAAUGAACUCCACUGGUCGAGUGUGCUCAUGCAAAAGGAGAAGAGGAUUAAUUAGUAUGUGCAUAUAGAAUGUAAAAGCAGAAACAUAAGAGAUGAAUAAAAUUAUAAUCUAAAGUAACAAAGCAAGUCAAAUAAUAUUUGUGAUAAACCUCUAGAUAUUAGUUUAAGUCAAUAUCCAUUGUCUAGAUUGGACCACGCUCCCCUCUCAAGGUUUUUCUUUGACUCCUGGCACUUUCUAGUUCACAAAAGGCCCACAAUAUUUAUUCCAGGGAGGGACUCCUUGUAGUAGAGUCAAAUCCACAGCAAAGGCCAAUAGUAACUAAUAUUUGUUCCUCCGUGAAGGUUUGAACACAAAUAUCAACUUUGAGCUUCAAACAAUAGUUUGACCAAAUAGACUCAAAGAAUUCUUACAAGUAAACUUCUAAAACAUUGAGAGUCUAGCACAGUGCCUCAAAUCAUCAAUAGAAAAUCACUUGUGACUGAGUACCAAGACAUUAGAAACUUGAAAUCUAAAUGAACCUAAACCAGCUUUAGGGCAGUUGUAAGGCUCCGUAAAAAUUUACAAAAGAAAAUAAUAUUUUGGGUUGAACAAUGCACUGGAAAGGAAAGAAAAAAUUUGGGCAGAAGAAAUGCACUUCUGCGGCCCACUAUGCGAUCGCGGAAUCACUCUGCGGACCGCAUAAUGGUCGCAGAGUGAGGCAGGGAAGGGCAAUUUUGGAGACCAGGUUUGCAGCGCAUUAUGCAACCACAGACCAAUUCUGCGGUGCAUUAUUCGACCGCAGAACAGGUCUGCGAGCCGCAUAAUUACCGCAGACCAGGUCAGUCACGCCCAGUUUUGGAGGCAAAACUAUGCGGACCGCAUAUCAAUUAUGCGAUCGCAGACCUUGUUCCGUAGCUUCAUUUUUGUAUUUUUAAAACCCGACCCUACUUCGUUAAAUACACGCUUUGGGCUAUUUUUGAGAUAAAAUCUGACACUUUUAAAGUUAGAGAGUGCCCUAGAGUGAGAAGGUGUUCUUCAACAGUUUGUUUUUCAAUUCUUGCUCGAAUCUUGGAAGAUUAACAAGGAAAAACUCCCUAGGUCUUCAUCCUAAAGGUAAUAUUCUACACCCUAACCCUCAAUUUCGAAUUUUAUCUAGAAUUUGGUUAUUAGCAAGAUAAUUUUGGGCUUGGGAGUUGUCCAUCUUACAUGUAUGUAUUAUCAAAGGGUGUAGGAAGAUUGUGAAGCUAAAAACGGUAAAUAAUGGGUUGUGGUAUGAUAGAAUCCUCUAUAAAAGGACCUUGAAACCUUAAUGCACACCUAGUGUUUUAUAAACUACUCAAAUGAGCUAGAAACAAGAUCAUCUUCCUAUUUUUUGAUCAAUUUGUUAUAUUUCUACAUUAGAUUAAAGUUUCAAAGAAUUACGGAACCUUUUAGAGUUUAAGGAAGUUCAACUGAGGUAUGUUGACUAAACCUUUCUCUUAGAAUUGAAUCCCACGAUAUUCAUGUAAUCUAUGUAAGUCCCGAGUGGUUCAUUAUGAAAUUGGCUAUUCCUAGUAAGAUUGUGUUAAAAGUUAUAUGUUUAAUAAGUACCCCAAAUACCUUAUUUAUGGUACGUUAUCAAUUGAGGAUGUGAUAAUAAUAUUAGCUGGACAUUAAAAAUGUUCGACUUGAAGUCAAAUUCAAACGAAGGCUAUUAUGCCAAAUUUUGUGAAGAAUCUCUAUUUGCCUUAGACUCUUAAUUGCUCACAUGUGUACUACAUGCCUUUAUUUGGAUUGUUGUUUUUGUUAUUGAUGAUGUUGAUGUUAGAAAGUGAAAAGGUGAGCAUGGAAUACUAAAUGCGGCCAACGUGCCAAGAAUGAUUUUAUAAAUAUGGCCAUUAGUGCCAAUGAAAUGAAAAUAUGUGAAAGAACUAUGAAAUGCGAUGAUUGAUAUAAAAAGGUUGAUGUCUCGAAUAAGACAGCCUAGACGAUCAGGUCGUGAUCGGACACCAUGACGCACACAUGGUGAUGAUUGUGCUUGAAAUUCUGAUUUGUGGUCGAUGUCUCCAAUGAGAUAGCCUAGCCGAUCGGGUCGUCAUCAGAUUCCGUGUUAAAGGUACGAUGGUAUUGAUAUUGAGGGUGAUUGUGGUUGAUGUCUCGAAUGAGAUAGCCUAGCCGAUCGGGUCGUGAUGGGACUCCGUGCUAAGAGUACAAUGUUAUUGGUUUUGUGAAUAAUGGUAUUGUGAACGAUGAUAUAUUUGUACUAAGAAUCUCCAACUUAAAAAAAUAUGGAAAUUAAUUUGAAUACAGUCUUGAUCCUAAGUUGAGGUUUGAUGCUUUUUAAGGCUUCCAUUGAUAUUAUGAUAUUCUUAUUUGUUUUAUUUAUCAUUCUAUUCAGAGGGUGUUUUGUCAUUCAUACUAGUACUAUUCCAUAUGUACUAAUGUCCCUUUUUCCGAUGGUGCUGCAUCUUCAAUGGAUGCAGGUGGUUCCACAUCUAGUGAUAUUGAUCAGUGAUAGCGGUACAUCCUCUUCCCAGCUGACUUGGUGAGCCCCACUUCAUUUCGGGGUUAUGUAUCUUUUGUUCGUCGCGUAUUGUGUUUGAGGUAUAGCCGGGCCUUGUUGCCGACAUUAUCAUAGUACUCUUUUGUAUAUAUCAAAGGCUCCGUAGACUGUGAGUUGUGUACUGGUGUUGGGAAAGUCAAACUAUAUGGUGUUGUGGUUGUAUUACUUGUUCUAUUUAAGAAUUUAAAAUAAUGGAACUAUUGGUAAUAAAUUGGUAUUGUAGACAUGAGCAUCUUAUUGUCUAAUUAACAAAAAUGUGCAUCCUAUUUAUUAAUGGAUGAGUUUGCUCGGCCGGGUUCACUCGGUUGAGCGUCGGUCGCGCUCUAUAGUUUUGAGGCGUGACAAACUUGGCAUCGGAGCCUAAUGUUUUAAAGUGUCCUAGGAUAUCUUGGAGCCGUGUCUAGUAGAGUCUUUCUUAUCGGUAUGUUGUCGACCACAUCUAUAAUUAGGAUGAUACUUGGGGAUUUACGAAUAAUACCCUUCUUUCAUUUUCUUGAUCGUGCGAUAAACCUGGAUGUAAGAUUGUUCCUAUUUUAACUCGAGCUUUACUUUAACUUUCUAUAUAUUGCACCUAAGAAGAAGGCAAGAAUUGGCCAAAGAGCCAAUGUCACCCUAGGAGUAACAGUUGAUUCUAUAUAUGGUGAUGCGGGUGAGAAGCCAAGGAGUGAGAAUAUUCCUCCAGUUACUACACUACAUGAUUCUACUACAAGUGAUCAGACCGCACCUAUCCCUACACCUACUAAGGGUACAACGGUCCCUCUAACUGAUAUACCAAUUCCACCUCCAGUUCCAGCUUCUGAUUCUGGUGUUUCUGAUGUUGAUCUUCCAGGAGCCAUACAUAUGUUGUCUCUGAUAGUGGCUGCCCAAGCCUAGAGAUCAAAUGUUACACCUACUUCUUCCAGUCAACCAGGGGAUUCUACUAGUUCAAGGGUGAACAAGUUUCUCCAGUUGGAUCCUCCAAUGUUCGCGGGUACUAACCCAGAGGAGGAUCCAUAGGACUUCAUUGAUGAGACGCACAAGACUCUCUGAGUUAUGCAUGCUAUUGAGAUAGAUGAAUUGGAAUUAUCCUCCUACUACCUUAAAGAGGUGGCAUAUUCUUGGUUUGAACUAUGGGUGGAGUCCCGUGAAGAAGGGAACCCUCCGACGAGGUGGGGUGAGUUUGCCAAUGCAUUCAUUGAUCAUUUAUUUCCUACCAAGACUAAGGCAACAUGUGCUGCUGUGUUUGAGAACCUGAGGCACGAUUGCCUGAGUGUGUGGGAUUACCACAUAAGAUUCCGGUACCUAUCCAAGUAUGCUAUUUACAUGUUUCCUACUAUGGAGGCUAGAGUGCGACGAUUUGUUCACAGCCUUAGUCCCUUAGUAAUUAAUGAGGCCACUACAACUGCCUUGAAUUAUAAUAUGAACUAUGGAAAGAUGGUGGCAUUCGCUCAAGCCACCGAGAUCUGCAAAUUGAGGAACAUAAUGGAGACAGAGUGUAGUAAUCAGGCCUGGUUUGCGGGAAACUUUGGUGGUUCUUCUGGUGGCGGAAGGUCAGCCUUUAGGGGAGGGUCAUCAGCGCCAUCACAGUACCUUGCUCAGUCUUAGGCUAGUGCACUUCCAUAAGGGCCCAGUCAACAGCAGGGUCAUCAUGGUGGUAGUUUCCAGCAGCAGAGGAGGCCCUCGUGCCCUAGGAAUAGAAAGAUGCACCUAGUAAUAUUCUACAUGGACUUACCCAUAUGCUACAUAUGCAGAUUGAGGGGUCACAUUCAUAGGAAUUAUCGUUCGUCCCGCCAUGGGGCAGGCAGGGGCACUGCACAUCCAGCCAGUUCUGCAGCUACUACAUCCGUAAUACCUCCUCCAACUCAAGGCACUCAAAUACCUGCUGGGCUUGGUGGAGCUAGGGGUGGGGCACAAAGUUGGGGAGGAUCUGACCAUUUCUUUGCUAUAAGGGGUCGCCAGAAUUCAGAGGCUUCUCCAGAUGUGGUGAUAGGUAUAUUGACUGUCCAAUCUCAGAUGUGUAUGAUCUUAUUGAUCUAGGUUAUACUUUUUCAUAUGUCACACCUUAUGUUACUAUGGAAUUUGGGAUAGAACAGGAACAACUUCAAGAGUCAUUAUAUGCAUCUACUCCGGUUGGUGAGUUUAAUUUGGCCGCACAAGUUUAUAGGGAUUGUAUUAUCACGUUGCGUUGUCGGGACACCGUAGUUGAUCUUAUUGAAUUGAGAAUGGUCUAUUUUUAUGUGAUAAUGGGAAUGGAUUGGAUUUAUUCAUGUUUGACCAAACUUGAUUUCCGAAACAAAACUGUUAGGUUCAAAUUUCCAAAUGAGCCAGUUAUUGAAUGGAAGGGUGAUGAUGUAGUGUUGAAGGGUAGGUUUAUUUCUUACCUUAAGGCCACGAAAAGGAUCAACAAGGGGUGUAUUUACCAUUUGGUUUGGGUUUUGGACACCGAUUUUGAGGCACCUACACUUAAGUCAGUUCUUAUUGUGAAUGAAUUUUUGCAAGUCUUUCCGGAUAAACUCCAUGAAAUCCCACCUGACAGUGAGAUUGAUUUUGGGAUUGACGUGAUGCCAGACAUGCAUCCUAUAUCUAUUCCACCCUACCGAAUGGCACCAUUAAAAUUUAAGGAGCUAAAUGAACAAUUAAGAGACUUGUUAGAAAAGGGUUUCAUCCGACCGAGUGUGUCACCUUGGGGCGCACUGAUGAUUUCUGUAAGGAAGAAAGAUUUGUCACUGAGAAUGUGUAUUGGUUAUCAAUAACUUAAGAAGGUCACAAUCAAGAAUAAGUACUCACUGCCAAGGAUAAAUGACUUGUUUGACCAAUUACAAGGUGAUAAGUACUUGUCCAAAAUUGAUUUACGAUCCAGAUAUCAUCAAUUGAAGACCAGAGAGACACAUGUUCCGAAAAUGGCUUUUAGAACCAGGUAUGGGCAUUUUGAAUUUUUGGUGAUGUCUUUUGGGCUAACAAAUGCCCCAGUGGCAUUUAUGGAUCUUAUGAAUCGGGUAUUCAAACCUUUCCUCAACUCCUUCAUGAUAGUGUUCAUUGAUGAUAUUCUUGUUUGUUCGCGGAGUCAAGAGGACCAUGCCGAUCAUAUCAUGGUAGUUUUGUAGACUCUGUAUCAGCAGUUUUGAAAUGUGAAUUUUGGCUUGAAUUUGUUAUAUUAUUGGGUCAUGUUGUCUUUAGAGAAGGAAUUAUUGUUGUUCCUCAAAAUAUUGCAGUUGUGAAGAAUUGGCCGAGGCUUACAACUCCAACAGAGAUUCGCAGUUUCUUAGGCUUAGCUGGGUAUUACAGAAAAUUUAUGGAGGGUUUUUCUAUCCUUACCUCUCCGUUGACUAAAUUGACGCAGAAGGUAAUUAAGUUCCAAUGGUCAGAUGCUUGUGAAAGGAGCUUCGAGGAGUUGAAAUUGAGAUUGACUAUGGCACCAGUGUUGGAUCUACUAGACGAUAUUGAUGGAUUUGUAGUAAAUUGUGAUGCUUCGAGAAUCAGACUUGGGUGUGUAUUAUUGCAACACGACAAGGUGAUAGCUUAUGCUUCCAGGCAACUCAAGAAUCAUGAAAAGAACUAUCCAGCACAUGACUUAGAACUUGUGGCGGUAGUAUUUGUAUUGAAAAUUUUGCUUCAUUAUUUAUAGGGGGUCCAUGUGGAUAUAUUCACGGACCAUAAGAUCCUUCAAUAUAUUGUCAAGCAGAAGGAAUUGAAUUUGAGGCAAUGAAUAUGGCUUGAGUUACAUAAGGACUAUGACAUUGAUAUUCUAUAUCAUCCGAGGAAGGCUAAUGUUGUGGCAGAUACUCUUAGCUAGAAUUCUAUGGGUAGUUUAGCACACUUGGAGGUAUAUCAACGGUCAUUGGCCGAGGAAGUUUACCGAUUGGAUAGUUUGGGGGUUAGUCUUGCGGACUCUAGUGAAGGAGGGGUAAUUGUGCAAAAUAGGGCUGAAUCAUCGCUUGUUGUGGAAGUCAAAGAGAAGAAAUACAACGAUCCAUUAUUGGUGCAAUUGAAAGAGGUGAUUCAUAAACAUAAGACCAUGGCCUUUUCUCUUGGCAUGGGUCAUGGUACACUAAGAUACCAAGGGAGUCUAUGUGUUCCAAAUAUAGAUGGUCUCCGAGAGAAAAUCAUGAUAGAGGCUCACACUUCUAGGUAUUCUAUGCAUCCGGGUUCUACAAAUAUGUAUCAUGAUCUUAAAGAAGUCUAUUGGUGGAAUGAUAUGAANNNNNNNNNNNNNNNNNNNNNNNNNAAGAAGAUGAUUGUGUGUUCUUGAAUGUUUUACCCAUGAAAGAUAUAAUGUGAUUUGGUAAGAAAGGGAAAUUGAGUCCGAGGUAUGCCAGGCCGUACAGAAUCAUUCAGAGGAUCGGUGAGGUAGUGUACAAGCUUGAGCUACCACCGGAUAUAUCAUUGGUACACCCGGUGUUUCAUGUGUCUAUGUUGAAGAAAGUAAUUGGAGUCCCAACACUCAUUGUUCCGGUUGAGACUAUGGAUAUUAAUGAGGAAUUAACUUAUGAAGCGAUUCGAGUUUAUAUUAUUGAUAGGCAAGUCCAUAAGUUGAGAAAUAAGGAAAUUACCUCGGUGAAUGUGAUAUGGAGAAACCACCAAGUUGAAAAGGCUACUUGGGAGGCCGAGGAAGAAAUGAAGAAAAAGUAUACUUAUUUGUUUGAAUAGACAUGUAUUUAUAAUCUUGUGAUCUAUGAAAAUUCUAAGAGUUACUUUCUAUGAAUUAUGUAUCAUUUGUACAAAUUGACGUUAAGGGUGUUCCUUUUUGGUAAUAUAUUGCUUGUGAGGCCACAAUUGGUGUUGUUUUGUGUUAUGUUACAUCGUUGGAUUCUGUAUAUGUUGUUAGGAUGUGUUUUGGGAUUAUUUGACAUGUGGAUAGGCCCAGUUACAGGGGAGACUCUAGCGAAUGUUUUGGAAAUUUAGGGAGUUAGCCAAAUUUUGAAACUACUGGUGAGCGUGAAUUAACAGUUAGGCCACAUUUGAUGCUAAUAAUAGAUUGUGACCCUCAUUCGAUGACAAAUGAUCCUAAGUGGGGGAGAAUGUAAGGCCCCGUAAAAAUUUGAAAAAGAAAAUAAUAUUUUAUGGGGCUGGACUAGGCUUACGUGUUUGAGGAUUGUAGAGGAAAAAUGCACUGGAAAGUAAAGGAAAUAUUUGGGCAGAAGAAAUGCACUUCUGCAUGCGGCAGUGAUGGGCAAUUAUGAGACCAGGUUUGCAGUGCAUUAUGCGACUGCACACCAAUUCUGCGGUGCAUUAUGCGACUGCAGAACAGGUCUGCGGACCACAUAAUGACCGCAGACCAGGUCAGUCAUGCCUAGUUUUGGAUGCCAAAUUAUGCGGCCGAUAGGCGAACCGCAUAUCAAUAUUGCGAUCCCAUAUGCGAUCACAAACCUUGUUCCGUAGCUUCAUUUUUGUAUUUUUAAAACCCGACCCUACUUCGUUAAAUACACGCUUUGGGCUAUUUUUGAGAAAAAAUCUGACACUUUUAAAGUUAGAGAGUGCCCUAGAGUGAGAAGGUGUUCUUCAACAGUUUGUUUUUCAAUUCUUGCUCGAAUCUUGGAAGAUUAACAAGGAAAAACUCCCUAGGUCUUCAUCCUAAAGGUAAUAUUCUACACCCUAACCCUCAAUUUCGAAUUUUGUCUAGAAUUUGGUUAUUAGCAAGAUAAUUUUGGGCUUGGGAGUUGUCCAUCUUACAUGUAUGUAUUAUCAAAGGGUGUAGGAAGAUUGUGAAGCUAAAAACGGUAAACAAUGGGUUGUGGUAUGAUAGAAUCCUCUAUAAAAGGACCUUGAAACCUUAAUGCACACCUAGUGUUUUAUAAACUACUCAAAUGAGCUAGAAACAAGAUCAUCUUCCUAUUUUUUGAUCAAUUUGUUAUAUUUCUACAUUAGAUUAAAGUUUCAAAGAAUUACGGAACCUUUUAGAGUUUAAGGAAGUUCAACUGAGGUAUGUUGACUAAACCUUUCUCUUAGAAUUGAAUCCCACGAUAUUCAUGUAAUCUAUGUAAGUCCCGAGUGGUUCAUUAUGAAAUUGGCUAUUCCUAGUAAGAUUGUGUUAAAAGUUAUAUGUUUAAUAAGUACCCCAAAUACCUUAUUUAUGGUACGUUAUCAAUUGAGGAUAUGAUAAUAAUAUUAGCUGGACAUUAAAAAUGUUCGACUUGAAGUCAAAUUCAAACGAAGGCUAUUAUGCCAAAUUUUGUGAAGAAUCUCUAUUUGCCUUAGACUCUUAAUUGCUCACAUGUGUACUACAUGCCUUUAUUUGGAUUGUUGUUUUUGUUAUUGAUGAUGUUGAUGUUAGAAAGUGAAAAGGUGAGCAUGGAAUACUAAAUGCGGCCAACGUGCCAUGAAUGAUUUUAUAAAUAUGGCCAUUAGUGCCAAUGAAAUGAAAAUAUGUGAAAGAACUAUGAAAUGCGAUGAUUGAUAUAAAAAGGUUGAUGUCUCGAAUAAGACAGCCUAGCCGAUCAGGUCGUGAUCGAAUACCAUGCCGCACACAUGGUGGUGAUUGUCUUGAAAUUAUGAUUUGUGGUCGUGUAUCCAAUGAGAUAGCCUAGCCUAGUCAAUCGGAUCGUGAUCAGAUUCCAUGUUAAAUGUAUGGUGCUAUUGAUAUUGAGGGUGAUUGUGGUUGAUGUCUUUAAUGCUAUAUCCUAGUCGAUCGGAUCAUGAUCGGACUCCGUGCUUUGAGUACAGUGGUAUUGUUAUUGUGAAUAAUUGUAUUUGAACGAUGGUAUAUCAAUAAUAAGAAUCUUCAACUUAAAAAUAUGGAAAUUAAUUUGAAUACUAUCUUGAUCCUAAAAUUGAGGUUUGAUGUUGUUUAAGGCUUCGAUUGAUAUUAUGAUAUUCUUGUUUGUUUUAUUUAUCAUUCUAUUGAGAGGGUAUUUUGUCAGUCAUACUAGUACUAUUCCAUAUGUACUAACGUCCUUUUUGAAGGGGCAGCUGCCUCUUCAAUAGAUGCAGGUGGUUCCACAGCAGGAGAUAUUGAUUAGUGCUAGUGGUACGUCCUCUUCCCAGCUGAGUUGGUGAGCCCCACUUCAUUUCGGGAUUAUGUAUCUUUUGUUCCCCACGUAUUGUUUUUGAGGUAUAGCCGAGGCCUUGUUGCCGCCAUUAUCAUAGUACUCUUUUGUAUCUAUUAGAGACCCCAUAGACAUAGUGUGAGUUGUGUAUUGGUGUUGGAAAAGUCAAACUAUGUGGUGUUGUGGUUGUAUUACUUGGUCUAUUUAAGAAUUUAAAAUGAUGGAACUAUUGGUAAUAAAUUGGUAUUGUAGACAUGAACAUCUUAUUGUCUAAUUAACAAAAAUGUGUAUCCUAUUUAUUCAUGGAUGAGUUUGGAUAGAAGAAAAUCUAAUAGGCUUGGUCUGUCGGGUUCACGCGGUUGAUCGCCGGUCGCGCUCCCCGAUUUUGGCGCGUGAUAGCAGUCACUUAGAAAGCUAAAAAAUACAUAAAUCAGAAGAAUGAUAAAACUUCACAGCAUAUCCAGUAGUCUAGGCUAAGUAUUGUAAAGCUUACAAUUAGUUUCACAUGAAUCAUGCUACGGAGAAUAAGGAAAUGCUAAUAGAACAAGACAUGGUGAACUUCAUCAGAUUGUUUUUCACUUAAACAAAUAAAACCUUAUAGGUAUAGUAUCUAUAGAAACAAGACAAUCUUGUGACAAUAUGGAAUACCAUAUAUAGCUAAUAUAAACAAAGCAAACAAGUGAGUUUAAAUCAACAGAGGUUUAACAAAAACAGAACAAGACUAGUGUUAACGUCAUGAACUAUAACAUUGUAAGUAGACAAAUCUCAUAACAUGCUUCAUAUCCUAUUCAUGAUACAAGGUAUGAAAACACGAAUGUCAACAUGAACUUUCAUCAGUAUAUAUCCAAAUGGUCGAGUAUUAAAAAACACUAUCAGUGUCACACACUCAAAUUCAGACAUUGAGCUGAACGAAAAGGAAUUAAAAUAACCAUCCUUAGGACAACUUACCAGUUUUUUAUUUUUCCGUUAAGGAUUUGUACCCGGAGUCAGCUCAAGAACAAUUAGCCUCGAUUAGAAAUUAAAGAAAAAAAGGAUGGAAAGAUUGUGAGCGGAUAGAAAUUUUAAUUUUCUCGUGUAGUGAAUUUACUCUAUUGAUUUGUGUGUUUGUUAAGGGCAUUAAAGCUUGGUAUUUAUAGCCAAGUAAUUAGUGUUUUAGGGUUUGAGAUUUUGAACUUUUAUGACUAAUUAGUGACGAACUUUGACGAAACAUUUCAUGACGAAAUCUUCAGAAUAAAAUGAAUAAUCAGAGGGAAUAAUAUGUGAAGAUUUUACCCUCUAAAGAUGAUGAAGAACUAGCCGUUUGAAGUCGUUUAACCUCCGUACAAAAAUUUUCCUAGAGGUCCUUGCGUUUGACCUCCAUACCAUCAGAUGUCAUACAGAGGUCAUGAGAUUCCUCCGAAUCUUCUUGAAUCGAAGAUGCAUGCAAGGUUUUAUUGAGGGAUCAGGCGUGAAUGAAAGUUUGAUGAUGAGAUUCUUAGGGUUUAUUUUUUGGGGAUAGUGUUUAGGUGUUUGGAAUUUGAAGGGAGAUGAUAGAAAGGGGAAUGUUUUGGUAGUGAUCUCAUAGUGACCUUGCACGGAUUUAUGCUAGGGUUCAGGUAUUUCCAGAGGUGUGAGAGGAUGAGAGAGAUGAGAGAAAAAGGUUAAGGGGCGGCUGGUAUGGUGGAUAUAAUGAUUAGGGUUUUAAGGGGUUGUGUACGUUAAAA
This 11520-nucleotide long non-coding RNA is filed under the name Nicotiana tabacum (common tobacco). RNAcentral describes it as "long non-coding RNA (NTAB_LNC001221)". Lineage: Eukaryota; Viridiplantae; Streptophyta; Magnoliopsida; Solanales; Solanaceae. The record is from RNAcentral.